GACGAACGCUGGCGGCGUGCUUAACACAUGCAAGUCGAACGGUAAGGCCCUGCAUUUGUGGGGUGCUCGAGUGGCGAACGGGGGAGUAACACGUGAGUAACCUGCCCUUGACUUUGGGAUAACUUCAGGAAACUGGGGCUAUUACCGGAUAUGAGCUCCUGCUGCAUGGUGGGGGUUGGAAAGUUUCGGCGGUUGGGGAUGCACUUGCGGCUUAUCAGCUUGUUGGUGGGGUAGUGGCUUACCAAGGCAUUGACGGGUAGCCGGCCUGGGAGGGUGACCGGCCACAUUGGGACUGAGAUACGGCCCGGACGCCUACGGGAGGCAGCAGUGGGGGAUAGUGCACAAUGGGCGGAAGCCGGAUGCAGCAACGCCGCGUGCGGGAUGACGGCCGGCGGGUUGGAAAGCGCGUGCGCCUGUGACGAAGCGUGAGUGACGGUAAUGGGUAAAGAAGCACCGGCUAACUACGUG
RNAcentral lists this ribosomal RNA (468 nucleotides) under uncultured bacterium. RNAcentral's name for it is "partial 16S ribosomal RNA". It matches the Rfam family "Bacterial small subunit ribosomal RNA", at positions 28 to 507 of the family's 1533-position model. The record is from RNAcentral.